CCUGUAUUGAAAAUGAAAUUUCAGUCUCUGUGGAAGGUUAUGGAGCCAGUACAUUCCAGCCCUUCCUCAAAUGCACAUAGUGUUCAGCAGACAGCUGAGGCAGUGCUUGCAGUUCAGUGGAUGCCCUGUGUAGUUUAGCUGGGGUUUCAGCCAGAGAUAAAAGUGGAUCCCAUUGAUGAGGGGAGGCUGCAUGGUGGAUGCAACCCAACACUGUACUGCUGCUGCGUGGCGGCUUGCUGCUGAAUUACUCUGCAUGCCUUCUUGGCAAUGCUAUUAAAAGAUUCUCUUCCUAGACAGAGAAACACAUCAGCUGAAGGAUCUGCACAGACAUUUUCUUUGACUUCAUAGUUUUUUGGGUUUUUUUGUGCUUUUCAGCCAAACAGCACAGUGAUUCACCUUGGGCACUUGCUGUGUACUAGCGUGGACACAGCAGGAUUGAGAUCACAUGGCUAAAAGACAGUAUCUUUUGGCAACACAUGCAGCAUUAGAUGGUCCUAAUGAAAUGAAACUUCAGUAUUUUACUGCUUAUGGUAUAAGAGAAUGUCACUUUUGAGUAUCUCAAAGAAUAUUUAAUAUGGCUAAGUGAGAAUCAAGCCUAAUUAAAUUAAAUUAUUCUGAAAUCUUUGUAGAAAAGCUUCUAAACUGUAAAUAACUCCCUUCCUUCCUUCCCUUUUCUCCUUAAAAAAAAAAUUACACUAUUAUCUGCAGUUUAGUUGCAUUAACUUCCAUUCUGUGCCUGAUCAUUAUUUUCAGAAAGCAGAGAACUAUGAUAAAUUGAUGUAUUUUUCAUAAUGUAAUAAAAUUAUAAGCUACAAAAGCAUGUAUUGGCUGGUCAGGCUUGUGCAGUUAAAGUAAAAAGUAAAAGAUUUGGUUCUCAUUCUGCAGUACUGACAAAUACAGCAUAUCAGCACAAAAGUGAUCUAUGAUUCAUUCUGUAUUUGAGUGAAUUUCUUCGCGAAUUGCAUGAAAGAGUUGCAUCAGUAUCUUAUCUCUUUCAAGAGGCAGUCAGCUUUUUCUACAUAUUGAAUUCUUUAUUGUCUUUAUAUUCCUGCAUGGUAUUUUGUUUUCCUUGUUUUAACUCCAUAAAAGAUGACCGUGUUAUGCAUUCACUAAAUGCCAAACAUUGCUUUUUACAAAAUGCACUGUGUAACUUGUUUGUUCCUGAGCUUCCUUAUGGAAAGGAUGUCCUGUGUUUGUUUACGUUCGUAGAUUGCUGUACUGUCUCGUAACUUUUGUGAAUGCCAUUGCAUUUUAUAUGCUUACGCAUGUACAGCACGUAAGCCAUUUGAUGGUCAGUGAGUUAUCAGACUGCUCCUUAUAGAGAUGGCAUGAGAUGAGAACAGGACUAAAACUAGAAGCAGGUGUGAAGUAAAGUUAGCAAAUACUCCAAAACAAGUAACAUAUCCAAUUGGCAGGGUGUUCUGAGGGGGUAGGUGGUGUCUGCAGGGAGAAGGACGUGCAUAGGGCAGUUGAGAAGCUGCAAGCGUGUGUGCGGGGCUCAGGGAGGUGCAGGGGGUUACAGCAGCAAUGGCUGAGCAGCCUCCUGCCUUCCUGCUCGUACUUCAAAACAAAGAAGUUGGAUGAUCAGACUCUUCAGUGGAGUUUCUUUUAGGUACUUGAGAGUUCUCAUUUGGAAAAACAGAGUGAAAGACUGCCCAGGUUUUAUGGCAGGUCUCUGUCCUGAGCCUGAAAGUGAGUGGUUAAUGUGAAAUCUCGUGAUCCUGUGUUGGGAGAAGAGUAAAGCAUGAGUGCUGGGAAAGGGCUACCGAAGUAACUUAUGUGCAAGUUGAGUUUCUGCUCAUAUGAAGCGGACAUAUGCAGAAAGAUGUUAGUACGUGUUCAUAGAAAUGAUGAUUAAUUAUGAGUAAGUAGUUUCACUUAUUUUUUUUUUCCUCUUUUUCCAGAACUGCAUUUCUCAAGCUGCUGAAGUUUGUUUGCCCAGCCCUUUGUAUAACUGAAUCCUGUAGUUGAUGCAGAAUUGCACACUAUCAGGCUGUGAAAUAGAAAAGGCAGGGAUGGUUUCUAGAUAAAUAUGAUAAAAAUAAUUUUCCAGAGUGUGGACAUAAGUGCUACUGUAAAGAUCCUGCAGAUGCUCAUGAUUCCUUUAUUGAACGUGAUGUAUUCUAUCCUGUUUGCAAAAGCACCAACAGUGAAAUGUGCUCCAACCGUGGCUUUGCAUGCACUGUUGCUUUAGGAAUUCAGUUUUGUUUCACUUCAGGAAGUAGAGCUGUAGCCUGUUACACCUCAGCAAAGACUAAAGUGACUUUUUGAUGGCGUGUGGCAGAUGAGGCUAUGUCCAGGGUGAUCUGCCCUAUCUAUGCACACUAGUAAGGAGCAGUAAGACUCCCGAGUGCUAUUCUGUUGAAGCGUGUGUCAAAACAAGAGCCUGUGAUGUAAUGGAGACUUGGAAACGCUGCAGUUGUGCACUUUGAAACUGCUACGUCUUUGAAGAGAGAUUUCCUGUGCCCUUCCUCAGAUGUCUGUGAUACUACCAAGAGGAACUGUCUUUCUGUAAGUGGAACUCUUCUUUGAAUAGCACAUUCAUAAUAUGAAUUAAUUGAAAACACUCAUAGUAGUGUGUGUGUUUGUAGAGAAGUCUGAACAGAAUUUAGUAUGCAAAAUAAUUUGUCUUAUAUUCUGAUGGUCUUAACCUCAAAUUUUGUAUGAUUUUUCAUGGCUCAUAAUUGAGAAUAAUGAUGCUCAGGGGAAACUCCUUUUAUUUUUUUUUGCUUUGGACGUUUGAAAUGCAUAGUAAACUUCUAUUCUUAGCUUAGACAGUGAUAAUAAAAGCAGUACGUGUCUCUGUCAACAUUAGUGAAAAAUAAGUCUCUGGGGAUUUCUGAAUGUUUUAUUUAAUGAUGAGAACAGUAAAUCUGUCCUGUGUGGUGUCUGAGUGAGCUGACUUAUAUCAAAACAUCAUUAUUUCAUUUUUAUACGUUACAGCAGUGUUUUCGGAAUAAGUACUGGAAUGAAAGCCAAAAGCUCCCCUCUAGAUUGCAAGAAUCGUAUUGUAGGGAUUGUUAAGGGAUUGAUUUAUAUUUUUUGGUUUAGCAAUUUUGAAGAGGAGGAAGAGGGAGAGCCUUGAUCUGCUUGCUUAGCUUGGUUUGGCAGUUUAAUCAUGGUAGUGCAGCCAUCAAACCUGUGCACUUAUCUGGGUGAUUGAAGAUGAGCACCCCGUGAGAUCUUGAUUUGCAUCUAUACCCUUAAUUACUAUCAGAUUGCAGAAGUAAGGACUUACUAGAAUUACUGAAGAGUAGUGCAUUUGUUUCUUCAGAAAUACGGAUUUUUAUGCUCCGGACUCUUAAUUUUAACUUAGUUGAGCCAUGAGGCUUUUUUAUAUACGUGUUGUAUUUGGCAUUUUUUCUUCAAACUUGGAAAGUGUACACACAUCCCUGAAGUCUUUAGGAUAAUAAUGAACUUUGUUGGAAGUCUCUGAAUGUGAAUUACAGCGGGUAGCUUUACGUUACAGCUAAACAGUACUGUGGAAGAUGGGUGUCUUGCUCCUGCUCCUUCCCUCCUUUGCUCUGGCACUUACCUGAGCCUAAGCUGAUGUGUCACAUCAGCAAAAAGAGGCUGUUUUGGUUUUUGUUAGGAGGUAGUUUUCUACUGUUUUGGAAGCUGAAUGUAUUUGUAAUGCAAGGAAAUAAGCGUGAGCCUGGAAAAUUGAAGAAUGGAGCAGGGGCAGGGAGAAGAAUUAAUUUCCUUUCUUUUGAGCCCUUAAAUUUCUCCUUUCUGGAAGCCAGAGAAAUGCAUCUGCUGGAUGCAGCAGGAGAUGAGAAGGGCCAACAUUUGGAAGCAGAGUGUUGGUUUAGGCAUAGCAUGAACAACAGCUACUCUGGGAGUUGCAAGGAUUGGGAUGGAAAAGGCAGAGAGGUAUGGAAGGCUGCUUGGCUCAUGAAGUCUGAGAGGGGGACUGCAUGGCCCAGGUGACAGCUGCUUGGAGCAAGCCAGAAACGGCCCCACAGUUCCCCAUCCCCUGCAUGAGGGAAGCAGCAGGAAGGCAGUUUCAAGGGAGGGAGGCUUAGGAACUGCUGUGGUGAUCAGUCAGUUUGCAGAGUAUUUGAACUGGGAAAACAAAUGGGCUGCCUGUACUAACUGUUCUCUCCUGAGAGGGAACAGUGCUGUGGUUAUAAAUGCAAGCGUAGGGAUCUAGUAGUCACAGCAGUGGUACCAAAAAGUAACAGUUGUGAAUGCUAUUACUUUUUACAUAACUCAGAUUUUAAAAUUAUCAGUGGUUUUUGGUAUACAGAAUUAGUGGCAAGUAUGGAUGGAUUAGUAUGUGAGCCUUUUAAUGCUAAAAACAGAAACUAAUGAGAUUACUGGAUCCUAUGUCACAAACCAUUGACUUUUCUCUCCCCUCCAGGAAGGAAAAAAAAAAAAAGGAAAACAACCCCCCCCUCCACUAUCUCUUAUUUGUCAUUAGGGACAAAAAAAAAAAGUCAAAGCCUUACUUACUGGUCUGAUUGCUGAUACUUAAAGUAAUUGCGUAAAUUGGGACAUCUAAGUGAUGUUUUAGGUGUAAAACUAUAAGAAGAAAUUUGUGAAAAGGAGCUUGACCUAUAAGAGACUUCAGCCUUUAUGUUUGAUGUAAAUGAAUUGAGCAAAAAAUUGGAGAGCUUGCUUUUUCUCGUACCUGCUUUACGUAAGUGUUCUUUACUGGCACCAAAACUGUAUUUUGUUCUCCUGAAUUUAUUUAAUAGCCUUUCCAGCAAUUUCAUCUGAUCAUCCACUGUUAGUUUUUUUUUUUAAAAAAGCACUAGAUUUAUUUUUAGAAGUUCAGACUCUUAGGAAUGUGACAAUAUCACAUGAGUAGGCCAGUUACUGGAGAAAGAGCCAUACACACUGCAAAAUAUGGAAUAAUGAGGCUAGGAGCCUGUGCUGUCGCCAUUCAGUUUAACAUAGCUGGAAAUAUAAGAAAGUAAGCAAAUUAUUUGAUGAGUUAGCAGUGAACCUGGCUGUAACAAUUUUACAGAAGCAAGGGCAGCCAACAGCUUGUCAGUUUGAUGGAUGGCCCCCAAAGUUUUUUUUUUAAAAGGAAAUCACUCAAAUCUAUUGCUUUCAUAGGAUUUACCAGCGUGUAUCAGUUCUCAGCUGCUGGCCUGGGAACCACCAGUGGAAUGUAAAGCCUGUCUAUCAUCUGUAAACUGAAGUAUUUUCAAUAACCGUGCAAUUCAGCAGCAGAAGAGGAGUAAUUAAAUGUCUUAUAAAAUGCUGAAGAAAACAAUUAGCAAG
Molecule: long non-coding RNA, 5232 nt
Filed under: Gallus gallus (chicken)
Lineage: Eukaryota; Metazoa; Chordata; Aves; Galliformes; Phasianidae
Description: lncRNA (ENSGALG00010023692.1)
Source: RNAcentral